GUGUUCGCUCCAGCAGCACAUAUACUAAAAUUGGAAUGAUACAGAGAAGAUUAGCAUAGGCCCUGCACGAGGAUGAAAUGAAAAUUGUGAACCAUUCUAUAUUUUU
Molecule: small nuclear RNA, 106 nt
Organism: Microtus ochrogaster (prairie vole)
Lineage: Eukaryota; Metazoa; Chordata; Mammalia; Rodentia; Cricetidae
Source: Ensembl